AGUGAACGCUGGCGGUAGGCCUAACACAUGCAAGUCGAACGGCAGCACAGUAAGAGCUUGCUCUUACGGGUGGCGAGUGGCGGACGGGUGAGGAAUACAUCGGAAUCUACUUUUUCGUGGGGGAUAACGUAGGGAAACUUACGCUACUACCGCAUACGACCUACGGGUGAAAGCAUGGGAUCUUCGGACCUUGCGCGAUUGAGUGAGCCGAUGUCGGAUUAGCUAGUUGGCGGGGUAAAGGCCCACCAAGGCGACGAUCCGUAGCUGGUCUGAGAGGAUGAUCAGCCACACUGGAACUGAGACACGGUCCAGACUCCUACGGGAGGCAGCAGUGGGGAAUAUUGGACAAUGGGCGCAAGCCUGAUCCAGCCAUACCGCGUGGGUGAAGAAGGCCUUCGGGUUGUAAAGCCCUUUUGUUGGGAAAGAAAAGCAGCAGGUUAAUACCCCGCUGUUCUGACGGUACCCAAAGAAUAAGCACCGGCUAACUUCGUG
Molecule: ribosomal RNA, 492 nt
Filed under: uncultured bacterium
Lineage: Bacteria
Description: partial 16S ribosomal RNA
Rfam family: Bacterial small subunit ribosomal RNA
Source: RNAcentral